GAUGAACGCUGGCGGCGUGCUUAACACAUGCAAGUCGAGCGAGAAGAUUUGAAAAGAUUCUUCGUAUGAAAUUUAAAAUGCAAAGCGGCGGACGGGUGAUUAACGCCUAGGCAACCUGCCCCAUACACAGGGAUAGCAUUUGGAAACGAAUAUUAAUACCUUAUGAAACUUAACUAGUGCAUGCUAGGUAGGUCAAAGAUUUAUCGGUAUGGGAUGGGCCUGCGUCUGAUUAGCUAGUUGGUGAGGUAUCGGCGCACCAAGGCGAUGAUCAGUAGCCGUCCAGCGAGGGUGCGCGGCCAAAUUGGAACUGAGACACGAGCCAGAAUCCUACGGGAAGGAGCGGUGGGGAAUAUUGCACAAUGGGGGAGACCCAGAUGCGGCAUCGGCGCGUAAACGAUGAUGGCUUUGGAGUAAUAAAGUUCUGUUCUAGGUUAUGAGAACUGACGGUAACCAAGGAGAAAGCCCCGGCUAACUCCGUG
RNAcentral lists this ribosomal RNA (479 nucleotides) under uncultured bacterium. Its description in RNAcentral is "partial 16S ribosomal RNA". It matches the Rfam family "Bacterial small subunit ribosomal RNA", at positions 28 to 507 of the family's 1533-position model. The record is from RNAcentral.